GUGAGUCAUCGAAUCUUUGAACGCACAUUGCGCCCGCCGGUAUCCCGGCGGGCAUGCCUGUCCGAGCGUCAUUGCAACCCUCAGGUCCUCGCGCCUGGUGUUGGGGCCCUGCGCGGCAGGCCCCGAAAGACAGCGGCGGGUGCGUCCCGGAACCGAACGCAGUAGUUUUCUCUCGUUUUGGACCAGGGCGCGCGCCGGCCGUAAAACGCUCCAACUUUUCUCAAGUUGACCUCGGAUCAGGUAGGAAUACCCGCUGAACUUAAGCAUAUCAAUAAGCGGAGGA
This 283-nucleotide unclassified non-coding RNA is filed under the name Chaetosphaeriales sp. Its description in RNAcentral is "partial contains 5.8S ribosomal RNA, internal transcribed spacer 2, and large subunit ribosomal RNA". The stretch from base 1 to 71 matches the Rfam family "5.8S ribosomal RNA", at positions 84 to 154 of the family's 154-position model. The record is from RNAcentral. Lineage: Eukaryota; Fungi; Ascomycota; Sordariomycetes; Chaetosphaeriales.